GAUGAAGAACGCAGCGAAAUGCGAUAAGUAGUGUGAAUUGCAGAAUUCAGUGAAUCAUCGAAUCUUUGAACGCACACUGCGCCCCUUGGUAUCCCGAGGGGCAUGCCUGUUCGAGCGUCAUUUCACCACUCAAGCCUGGCUUGGUGUUGGGCGACGUCCCCUUUGGGGACGCGCCUCGAAACGCUCGGCGGCGUGGCACCGGCUUUAAGCGUAGCAGAAUCUUUCGCUUUGGAAGUCGGGGCCCCGUCUGCCGGAAGACCUACUCGCAAGGUUGACCUCGGAUCAGGCAGGGAUACCCGCUGAACUUAAGCAUAUCAAUAAGCGGAGGA
Molecule: unclassified non-coding RNA, 329 nt
Filed under: soil metagenome
Description: partial contains 5.8S ribosomal RNA, internal transcribed spacer 2, and large subunit ribosomal RNA
Rfam family: 5.8S ribosomal RNA (bases 1-120)
Source: RNAcentral